RNAcentral lists this ribosomal RNA (484 nucleotides) under uncultured archaeon. RNAcentral's name for it is "bacterial SSU rRNA". It matches the Rfam family "Archaeal small subunit ribosomal RNA", at positions 378 to 865 of the family's 1478-position model. The record is from RNAcentral.
UACUCCAGUGCCUGGGGUAAGACCAAUCUUUUUCUUGACUCUAAAACGGUCUUGGAAAAGAGUGGGGUAGGGACGGUGCCAGCCGCCGCGGUAAUACCGGCGCCUCAAGUGGUCAUCAUGAUUUUUGGGCCUAAAACAUCCGUAGCCGGUUCGAUAAAUUUUGGGUUAAAUCAACACGCUUAACGGGUUGAAUUCUGGGAGGACGGCCAAACUUGGGACCGGGAGAGGUGUGGGGUACUCUCAGGGAAGGGGGAAAAAUCCUGUCAUCCUGAGUGGACCACUGGUUGCGAAGGCGGCCACACUAAAACGGAUCCGACGGUCAGGGACGAAACCUGGGGGCACAAACCGGAUUAAAUACCCGGGUAGUCCUAGGGGUAAACGCUGUGACUUUGUUGUGGGGGGUCCUCCGAGCACUCCCGGGGUCGAAGCAAGGCGUUAAUUUCCCUGCCUGGGAAUUCCGGCCCAAGGUUAAACUUAAAGGAAU